CGGAGGAUGCAAGCGUUAUCCGGAUUUAUUGGGUUUAAAGGGUGCGUAGGCGGAUUAAUAAGUCAGUGGUGAAAACCUUCAGCUUAACUGGAGACUUGCCAUUGAUACUGUUAGUCUUGAGUAUGGUUAAGGUAGGCGGAAUGUGUAAUGUAGCGGUGAAAUGCUUAGAUAUUACACAGAACACCGAUUGCGAAGGCAGCUUACUGAGCCAUAACUGACGCUGAUGCACGAAAGCGUGGGGAGCGAACAGGA
Molecule: ribosomal RNA, 252 nt
Filed under: uncultured Bacteroidota bacterium
Lineage: Bacteria; Pseudomonadati; Bacteroidota
Description: uncultured Bacteroidetes bacterium partial 16S ribosomal RNA
Rfam family: Bacterial small subunit ribosomal RNA
Source: RNAcentral